CCCAAGUCAAAACCCUAACAGAGAAACGUAAUUCUCAUUUUCGUUCUUCCGUUAAAUCAAAACCUCUUAAAAUUAAUGAGAAGUAAGUUACUGAUGGGUGAUGACUCCAAGAUUUAGUGCUGGUACUGGUUUUGUAUGGGAUUCCGGUCAGGGGCGGAGCUACUUGAGGACUAGGGACAAGGGAGGACCUCCCUAGAAUCUCAAAAUUGCCUAUUUAGCCAUUGUGUUCUAAGAUUUUUAUGUAUUUGUCCCCCCUUAAAUGUUCUAAAAUUGCAAUAAUAGGUCUAAACACUAAUAAAUUUUACAAUUCUUGUUAUAAUCUGUUUUAAAAUGUACUAGUAAGAGCUAGCACUAUGGAGGGGUUCAUCCCCUCACUAUCCCUUGAACGGUAAAAAACUCUUAUAACCAUCAAAUGUUUCCGGUAACUGAAUAGGAGUUCAUAAAAUUAAAGCAUUUUACAAUUCAGGUGCCAUCUUUUAUAGAGAGCUGCUUCUGAAGGACGAAAUUCCUGAUAGAUGAUGAAUCAUCAGGAAUUUCGUCCCUGCUGGUGUGAAAGAGUUUGAAGAAAAUAGAGGCGCAAAGUUCCUAAAUAGGGUAUUUAAUUUGGAAGAAAUAAACGAUGUGAAGGAGGUAUUCCACUGGUUUCGUAGGAGAUUGUGAAGACAAUUUUGACGAUACAUAUGUUCAAACUAUGAGAAUUGGGGCGCACGAAUGAACAAUUAGUCCCCUCAUGGCUGCAGGGCAACCUGUUGAAACACUAGUCAGCAGACUCAGUACUAUAUGGUGCAUCAGUAAAGCUUCACCGUUUCAUAUCAAGCAUAGAGUGCAUGAUUUUAAAAGAAAACCAGUAAGGCCAAGGACCAGAUUUCAGAAGGUUACAUAGUAAGUAGCUGGUAUAAUAAUUUGAAAAUGUCAUGAGUUUUGGCGCAUGCUUUAUAUGUUAAUACUUACCAAUACUUGUUCUAUUAGUUGAGGCACAAAUGAGGGAACAAGCUGUGUUAGAUGACAAUGGUGGGGAUAGGGAGGUGAUUGGUUUGUAUUGCUCAAUUUCUUCUCUAAAUUGAAGAAAAUCGACUUUCAGUUCACUAAAAAGGUAGAGAGUGCUUCUGUAUGGCGAAAUUCUAGAUCGAAAGAAAGUUAGCUGAGUAUUGAUUGACUGGAGGAUAGAGGCACAAAGUUCCUAAAUUGGGUAGUUAAUUUGGAAGAAAUUCGAUAUGUCCAAACUAUGUGAAGGGAUGUAUUCCAGUGGUUCAAAAUAUCAGAAUUGGGGUGCAUGAAUCCUGUUCUGGCUGCAGUGCAACCUGUUGAAAUACUAAUCAGCACUACAUGGUGCAUCAGUAAAGCUUCACGCAUGCUUUCGUUUAAUAUUAGGCAUAGACAAACAAUUGUAAUUGGUGUGCAUGAUUUUUAGAAGAAAACCAGCAAGGCCAAGGACCAGAUUUCAGAAGGUUACAUGGCACAAAUGAGGGGGCAACCGGAGUUAGAUGAGAAUGGUGCUACAAAGGGGAACCAGUUCACAAUGUCAGCGGAGAAGUCCUAUUGCACGUGCAAUGAAGCACCAACACUGAAGGCUGGGGGUAGAGGUAGUUAGAUGGAAGUUGUUGGAAUAUCUUUAGAAAUAAAGCAGGGAUAGCAUCUGGCAGUGUCGCACACAACCUAAAUCAGUUUUUUUAUAAUUCAGACUGGACUCUAAAUCAGUGGUGAGGGCAGGAACUAAUGGAGAACAACAUAUUGCUUGGCAAUUACAUCACCAGAUUUCAGAGGCUAAACAAGUUGUACAGUUUUUUCAGUUUUGGGAUUAUCUUUGUUUAAGUUUGAAACAAUGUUGCUGUAUUCCGGCUAACUUGCGAGGAAAAAUAAGCCAACAAAUGAGUGGCUCUGGACCAUUAAAUGCAUUAGGCAUCAGUUAGUUGUUGCGUUCUUUUUGGACUAAAAACAUUAUCAAUCAUCGUAUUAUUCUGAUGGAUGUUUUUCUUA
This is a long non-coding RNA of Papaver somniferum (opium poppy), 1977 nucleotides long. RefSeq lists it as uncharacterized. The record is from RefSeq and is a predicted model, not a curated record. Lineage: Eukaryota; Viridiplantae; Streptophyta; Magnoliopsida; Ranunculales; Papaveraceae. The transcript is spliced from 6 exons.